UGGGGAUUUAAAGAAGCCUUGCUCUUAUGAAGUUAGCGGCGGACGGGUGAGUAACACGUGGGUAACCUGCCCAUAAGACUGGGAUAACUCCGGGAAACCGGGGCUAAUACCGGAUAACAUUUUGAACCGCAUGGUUCGAAAUUGAAAGGCGGCUUCGGCUGUCACUUAUGGAUGGACCCGCGUCGCAUUAGCUAGUUGGUGAGGUAACGGCUCACCAAGGCAACGAUGCGUAGCCGACCUGAGAGGGUGAUCGGCCACACUGGGACUGAGACACGGCCCAGACUCCUACGGGAGGCAGCAGUAGGGAAUCUUCCGCAAUGGACGAAAGUCUGACGGAGCAACGCCGCGUGAGUGAUGAAGGCUUUCGGGUCGUAAAACUCUGUUGUUAGGGAAGAACAAGUGCUAGUUGAAUAAGCUGGCACCUUGACGGUACCUAACCAGAAAGCCACGGCUAACUACGUGCCAGCAGCCGCGGUAAUACGUAGGUGGCAAGCGUUAUCCGGAAUUAUUGGGCGUAAAGCGCGCGCAGGUGGUUUCUUAAGUCUGAUGUG
RNAcentral lists this ribosomal RNA (551 nucleotides) under Bacillus cereus. RNAcentral's name for it is "bacterial SSU rRNA". It matches the Rfam family "Bacterial small subunit ribosomal RNA", at positions 70 to 596 of the family's 1533-position model. The record is from RNAcentral. Lineage: Bacteria; Bacillati; Bacillota; Bacilli; Caryophanales; Bacillaceae.